AUUGAACGCUGGCGGCAGGCCUAACACAUGCAAGUCGAACGGUAACAGGAAGCAGCUUGCUGCUUCGCUGACGAGUGGCGGACGGGUGAGGAAUGUCUGGGAAGCUGCCUGAUGGAGGGGGAUAACUACUGGAAACGGUAGCUAAUACCGCAUAAUGUCGCAAGACCAAAGAGGGGGACCUUCGGGCCUCUUGCCCUCGGGUGUGCCCAGAUGGGAUUAGCUUGUUGGUGGGGUAACGGCUCACCAAGGCGACGCUCCCUAGCUGGUCUGAGAGGAUGACCAGCCACACUGGAACUGAGACACGGUCCAGACUCCUACGGGAGGCAGCAGUGGGGAAUAUUGCACAAUGGGCGCAAGCCUGAUGCAGCCAUGCCGCGUGUAUGAAGAAGGCCUUCGGGUUGUAAAGUACUUUCGGCGGGGAGGAAGAGAGUAAAGUUAAUACCUUUGCUCAUUGACGUUACCCGAAGAAGAAGCACCGGCUAACUCCGUG
RNAcentral lists this ribosomal RNA (490 nucleotides) under uncultured bacterium. Its description in RNAcentral is "partial 16S ribosomal RNA". It matches the Rfam family "Bacterial small subunit ribosomal RNA", at positions 30 to 507 of the family's 1533-position model. The record is from RNAcentral.